UCAGACACUCACCAAAUCCCUUCUGCUCUCUACUUCCUGGUACCAGUUGGCAUCACCUGUCAUUUUCUGUGUCAGGCCAGUACCAGGCAUCAAAAAUAAAAAUAAAGCAACUUUAAAAACUAUUCGUCAAUAAUAAAUCUGAC
Long non-coding RNA from Bufo bufo (common toad), 143 nucleotides. RefSeq lists it as uncharacterized. The record is from RefSeq and is a predicted model, not a curated record. NCBI's taxonomy places the organism in Eukaryota, Metazoa, Chordata, Amphibia, Anura, Bufonidae. The transcript has 4 exons.